RNAcentral lists this transfer RNA (74 nucleotides) under Mobula thurstoni (smoothtail devil ray). RNAcentral describes it as "tRNA-Thr". It matches the Rfam family "tRNA". From Rfam's summary of the family: Transfer RNA (tRNA) molecules are approximately 80 nucleotides in length. Their secondary structure includes four short double-helical elements and three loops (D, anti-codon, and T loops). Further hydrogen bonds mediate the characteristic L-shaped molecular structure. tRNAs have two regions of fundamental functional importance: the anti-codon, which is responsible for specific mRNA codon recognition, and the 3' end, to which the tRNAs corresponding amino acid is attached (by aminoacyl-tRNA synthetases). tRNAs cope with the degeneracy of the genetic code in two manners: having more than one tRNA (with a specific anti-codon) for a particular amino acid; and 'wobble' base-pairing, i.e. permitting non-standard base-pairing at the 3rd anti-codon position. Lineage: Eukaryota; Metazoa; Chordata; Chondrichthyes; Myliobatiformes; Myliobatidae. The record is from RNAcentral.
GUUUUGGUGGCCAAGUACCCUAAGGCAUCGGUCUUGUAAACCGAAAAUCGGAGGUGGAACCCCUCCCCAAAGCU